This 253-nucleotide ribosomal RNA is filed under the name uncultured bacterium. RNAcentral's name for it is "partial 16S ribosomal RNA". It matches the Rfam family "Bacterial small subunit ribosomal RNA", at positions 524 to 776 of the family's 1533-position model. The record is from RNAcentral.
UACGAGGGGGGCGAGCGUUGUUCGGAAUUAUUGGGCGUAAAGGGUGCGUAGGCGGCCUGACAAGUCUGAUGUGAAAUCCCUGGGCUCAACCCAGGGCCUGCAUCGGAAACUGUCGGGCUUGAGUAUGGGAGAGGUGAGUGGAACUGCGAGUGUAGAGGUGAAAUUCGUAGAUAUUCGCAAGAACACCAGUGGCGAAGGCGGCUCACUGGCCCAUAACUGACGCUGAGGCACGAAAGCGUGGGGAGCAAACAGG